UACGGAGGGUGCAAGCGUUAUCCGGAUUCACUGGGUUUAAAGGGUGCGUAGGCGGGCAGGUAAGUCCGUGGUGAAAUCUCUGAGCUUAACUCAGAAACUGCCAUGGAUACUAUUUGUCUUGAAUAUUGUGGAGGUAAGCGGAAUAUGUCAUGUAGCGGUGAAAUGCUUAGAUAUGACAUAGAACACCAAUAGCGAAGGCAGCUCGCUGGGACGUUACUGACACUGAGGCGCGAAAGCGUGGGGAGCGAACAGG
Molecule: ribosomal RNA, 253 nt
Filed under: uncultured bacterium
Lineage: Bacteria
Description: partial 16S ribosomal RNA
Rfam family: Bacterial small subunit ribosomal RNA
Source: RNAcentral